GACGAACGCUGGCGGCGUGCUUAACACAUGCAAGUCGAACGGAAAGGCCCUGCUUUUGUGGGGUGCUCGAGUGGCGAACGGGUGAGUAACACGUGAGUAACCUGCCCUUGACUUUGGGAUAACUUCAGGAAACUGGGGCUAAUACCGGAUAGGAGCUCCUGCUGCAUGGUGGGGGUUGGAAAGUUUCGGCGGUUGGGGAUGGACUCGCGGCUUAUCAGCUUGUUGGUGGGGUAGUGGCUUACCAAGGCUUUGACGGGUAGCCGGCCUGGGAGGGUGACCGGCCACAUUGGGACUGAGAUACGGCCCAGACUCCUACGGGAGGCAGCAGGGGGGAAUAUGGCACAAGGGGCGGAAGCCUGAUGCAGCAACGCCGCGUGCGGGAGGACGGCCUUCGGGUUGUAAACCGCUUUCGCCUGUGACGAAGCGUGAGUGACGGUAAUGGGUAAAGAAGCACCGGCUAACUACGU
Molecule: ribosomal RNA, 467 nt
Filed under: uncultured bacterium
Lineage: Bacteria
Description: partial 16S ribosomal RNA
Rfam family: Bacterial small subunit ribosomal RNA
Source: RNAcentral